This 432-nucleotide ribosomal RNA is filed under the name uncultured bacterium. Its description in RNAcentral is "bacterial SSU rRNA". It matches the Rfam family "Bacterial small subunit ribosomal RNA", at positions 93 to 520 of the family's 1533-position model. The record is from RNAcentral.
GAGUGGCGAACGGGUGAGUAAUAUAUCGGAAACGUGCCCAACUGUGGGGGAUAACGUAGAGAAAUUUACGCUAAUACCGCAUACGAUCUAAGGAUGAAAGCGGGGGACCUUCGGGCCUCGCGCGAUUGGAGCGGCCGAUGGCAGAUUAGGUAGUUGGUGGGAUAAAAGCUUACCAAGCCGACGAUCUGUAGCUGGUCUGAGAGGACGACCAGCCACACUGGGACUGAGACACGGCCCAGACUCCUACGGGAGGCAGCAGUGGGGAAUUUUGGACAAUGGGCGAAAGCCUGAUCCAGCAAUGCCGCGUGUGUGAAGAAGGCCUUCGGGCUGUAAAGCACUUUUGUCCGGAAAGAAAUGGCUCUGGUUAAUACCUGGGGUCGAUGACGGUACCGGAAGAAUAAGGACCGGCUAACUACGUGCCAGCAGCCGCGA